RNAcentral lists this ribosomal RNA (429 nucleotides) under Actinomycetes bacterium. Its description in RNAcentral is "Actinobacteria bacterium partial 16S ribosomal RNA". It matches the Rfam family "Bacterial small subunit ribosomal RNA", at positions 355 to 776 of the family's 1533-position model. The record is from RNAcentral. Lineage: Bacteria; Bacillati; Actinomycetota; Actinomycetes.
UAGGGAAUCUUCCGCAAUGGGCGAAAGCCUGACGGAGCAACGCCGCGUGAGUGAUGAAGGUCUUCGGAUCGUAAAACUCUGUUAUUAGGGAAGAACAAAUGUGUAAGUAACUAUGCACGUCUUGACGGUACCUAAUCAGAAAGCCACGGCUAACUACGUGCCAGCAGCCGCGGUAAUACGUAGGUGGCAAGCGUUAUCCGGAAUUAUUGGGCGUAAAGCGCGCGUAGGCGGUUUUUUAAGUCUGAUGUGAAAGCCCACGGCUCAACCGUGGAGGGGCAUUGGAAACUGGAAAACUUGAGUGCAGAAGAGGAAAGUGGAAUUCCAUGUGUAGCGGUGAAAUGCGCAGGGAUAUGGAGGAACACCAGUGGCGAAGGCGACUUUCUGGUCUGUAACUGACGCUGAUGUGCGAAAGCGUGGGGAUCAAACAGG